RNAcentral lists this ribosomal RNA (253 nucleotides) under uncultured bacterium. Its description in RNAcentral is "partial 16S ribosomal RNA". It matches the Rfam family "Bacterial small subunit ribosomal RNA", at positions 524 to 776 of the family's 1533-position model. The record is from RNAcentral.
UACGUAGGUGGCAAGCGUUGUCCGGAGUUAUUGGGCGUAAAGCGCGCGCAGGCGGUUCGGAAAGUCCAUGGUGAAAGCGCCCGGCUCAACUGGGCGAGUGCCGUGGGGACUAUCGAGCUGGAGGGGAGCAGAGGCGAGUGGAAUUCCGGGUGUAGUGGUGAAAUGCGUAGAUAUCAGGAGGAACACCAAUAGCGAAGGCAGCUCGCUGGGACGGUAUUGACGCUAAGGCGCGAAAGCGUGGGGAGCAAACAGG